Molecule: long non-coding RNA, 1402 nt
Filed under: Marmota monax (woodchuck)
Lineage: Eukaryota; Metazoa; Chordata; Mammalia; Rodentia; Sciuridae
Source: RNAcentral
CCUGGACCAAGUGCCUGGCAUAGAUGUCAUCUGCACAUGCUCGUCCCUGUUCACUGUUCACAUUCUAGAUGUGAGUUGGCACUGCUACAUAAAGAGGAAGGUAUUCAAAUCAAAAAAGGUUUGGAGAAACUGGUUGAAUCUCAGAGGAACUAGUGAAAAUGACUUAAGGUUUAGCAAACUGGUAUUCUGGAGAAAAUUGAAGGCUCACCAGAUCUAUGAGUAGGUUAACUGUGAGGGUGAUUUGGGGCAUGAAAAAUCAUCCUUGCUUCCAAACAUUUAGCCUGUCGACCUGAGCCAGUGCUUCCACUUCCUACUCUUGGAGAUGCUUCCUCUAGAAGAUCCCUGAAAAAAAUAUACAUUUAGCUUAAAUUAAAAAAAAAAAAAAACCACAAAACUACUGGUAUUCAUCUUCCUAGAGAUGAUGACCAACACUUGCUAUUUUCAACAAGUACAGGAAGGAAGACACAGACAGAAUAAUGUACACUCAGCCUUCUGCAUCUGUGGAUCAAACAACUACAGAUCAAUCUGUACUGAGCACAUACAGACAACAUUAUUGUCAUUCUUUCUAACAUAAUAUAACAGCUAUUUAUAUAGCAUUUCCAUUGGAAUAAUUAUUUUAAGAAAUCUAGAAAUGAUUUAAGGUAAAAGGGAGAAUGUGGAUAGGUUAUAGGUAAAUACUAUGCCAUUUUAUAUAAGGGACUUGAGAAUCCUCAUAUUUUGGUGUCUAUGGAAAGUCUUGGCACCAGUCCCUUGUAGAAACUGAGGGAUGAUUUCAUUUAAGAGUCUUAUCUAAGAAUCUAGAUCUUUCAAUAACUUGCAGUAUGAACUUGGGCAAAUCACUUGCUAUCUGAACCAUGAUUUUCCCUCUGUUAGACAAGGAAAAAAUGAUAUCUAUUUUGCUUACUUCAUAAAAUUAUUAUGACAUCAAUUUGAAAGUUAUAGUGAAAUGCUCUGAAAGAAUUAGAUACAUACAAAAAUUAGCUCUUUCAUAUUUUAGAAAAGUCACAUGAUAUUCUGGAAAAAAACCUAAAAGAUAACAAACCUAGGUUCAAAUCCCAACUAUGCUGCCUGGUAAUUGAAAAUUGGGCAGGGUCAAUUUUUAGUUCCUUAACAUUGGAAAAUUCUGGAAGUCAUUUCAGAAACACAGAAUUGUUUGAAGGCCUAAAAAGAGCUAACAUCCACAUGGCCUCUGACAAAGAAUAAAUAACUGUUUGCUUUACUCUCCUCUGCCCUUCCACAAUGACUGCACUCAGGCAGGAGGUACACCUGGUCACUGACCAAGGGUGACAUGAUGGGAUGGUUAAUGACAGACGCUAUGGAAUCUUCCACCCCUGAGAUCAUCUGAAGUGUAUAUCCACAGUCUGCCCGGCGAAUUUUUAUGGUUCUUUUUGGAAUAUCAUUU